UGACGCUCUCCCCAAGGACACAAGCCAUGCAUGCCCGCACACCCGGGAAGCGGCGGACGGCUCAGGACAACGGUUGCACCCCCCGCGGCGGUCCCUGCUAGCCGGACACCGCUGGCAACCCGGCGCCAAGACGUGCGCGCAAGUGCGGGCGCCCGCGGGCGAGCAGCGUGACGCAGA
RNAcentral lists this ribosomal RNA (177 nucleotides) under Giardia duodenalis. RNAcentral's name for it is "Giardia intestinalis partial small subunit ribosomal RNA". Lineage: Eukaryota; Fornicata; Diplomonadida; Hexamitidae. The record is from RNAcentral.